This is a small nuclear RNA of Loxodonta africana (African savanna elephant), 107 nucleotides long. NCBI's taxonomy places the organism in Eukaryota, Metazoa, Chordata, Mammalia, Proboscidea, Elephantidae. The record is from Ensembl.
AUGCUCACUUUAGCAGCACAUAUACUAAAAUUGGAAUGAUACAGAGAAGAUUACCACGGCCCCUGCACAAGGAUGGAAGCCUCCACCAAGACUUCCCCCACUCUGCC